This is a long non-coding RNA of Lutra lutra (Eurasian river otter), 451 nucleotides long. RefSeq lists it as uncharacterized. The transcript has 3 exons. The record is from RefSeq and is a predicted model, not a curated record. Lineage: Eukaryota; Metazoa; Chordata; Mammalia; Carnivora; Mustelidae.
CCUACCACAGAGUCAGGCACAGGAAAGGUAUUUAACAAAGGUGAUGUUCUCACCACACCUUCAGCACAAUCUGAAGAAGUCAUCCUGACACCACCCCCGCCCCCCCCAAGAGCAACCAUUUUCCUUGCCCUCCAUGACUGAAGCCACAACAUUCAUACCUAUCUGUGUUCUUAGAACCCCCCCUCAGGCAUUGGGUUGGGUGGACUUGUGCAUACAUCUCAUCCACGAGUAAAGGAGUCCAGGAAAGUUGCUCAUCUGGCCCAUAGAGCAGGCAAGCUGAACAAGAAAAUGUCACAGAGCGUGCAGUGUGUGGUGAGGGUUCAAAGGAAGGAGUCAUCAGUCCAGACCAGGAGAUCGGACAUCGUUCACAACGUUGGACAUAUCGCCAGAAGAGGGCACCCUUUCCUACAAAACCAAGAUCUGUCUGCUCCAUCCCUAAUAUGUAAACAAA